Molecule: ribosomal RNA, 253 nt
Filed under: uncultured bacterium
Lineage: Bacteria
Description: partial 16S ribosomal RNA
Rfam family: Bacterial small subunit ribosomal RNA
Source: RNAcentral
GACAGAGGGUGCAAACGUUGCUCGGAAUUACUGGGCGUAAAGCGCGUGUAGGCGGGCUUGUAAGUCGGAUGUGAAAUCCCUGAGCUCAACUCAGGAACUGCAUUCGAAACUGCAAGUCUGGAGUGGUGGAGAGGGAAGCAGAAUUCCUGGUGUAGAGGUGAAAUUCGUAGAUAUCAGGAGGAACACCGGGGGCGAAGGCGGCUUCCUGGACACUUACUGACGCUGAGACGCGAAAGCGUGGGGAGCAAACAGG